CCUACGGGACGCAGCAGUAGGGAAUCUUCCACAAUGGACGAAAGUCUGAUGGAGCAACGCCGCGUGAGUGAAGAAGGGUUUCGGCUCGUAAAGCUCUGUUGGUAGUGAAGAAAGAUAGAGGUAGUAACUGGCCUUUAUUUGACGGUAAUUACUUAGAAAGUCACGGCUAACUACGUGCCAGCAGCCGCGGUAAUACGUAGGUGGCAAGCGUUGUCCGGAUUUAUUGGGCGUAAAGCGAGUGCAGGCGGUUCAAUAAGUCUGAGUUGUAAGCCCUCGGCUCAACCCGAGAAAUUCAUCAGAAACUG
Molecule: ribosomal RNA, 305 nt
Filed under: uncultured bacterium
Lineage: Bacteria
Description: bacterial SSU rRNA
Rfam family: Bacterial small subunit ribosomal RNA
Source: RNAcentral